GGUUAAGCGACUAAGCGUACACGGUGGAUGCCCUGGCAGUCAGAGGCGAUGAAGGACGUGCUAAUCUGCGAUAAGCGUCGGUAAGGUGAUAUGAACCGUUAUAACCGGCGAUUUCCGAAUGGGGAAACCCAGUGUGUUUCGACACACUAUCAUUAACUGAAUCCAUAGGUUAAUGAGGCGAACCGGGGGAACUGAAACAUCUAAGUACCCCGAGGAAAAGAAAUCAACCGAGAUUCCCCCAGUAGCGGCGAGCGAACGGGGAGGAGCCCAGAGCCUGAAUCAGUGUGUGUGUUAGUGGAAGCGUCUGGAAAGGCGCGCGAUACAGGGUGACAGCCCCGUACACAAAAAUGCACAUGCUGUGAGCUCGAUGAGUAGGGCGGGACACGUGGUAUCCUGUCUGAAUAUGGGGGGACCAUCCUCCAAGGCUAAAUACUCCUGACUGACCGAUAGUGAACCAGUACCGUGAGGGAAAGGCGAAAAGAACCCCGGCGAGGGGAGUGAAAAAGAACCUGAAACCGUGUACGUACAAGCAGUGGGAGCACGCUUAGGCGUGUGACUGCGUACCUUUUGUAUAAUGGGUCAGCGACUUAUAUUCUGUAGCAAGGUUAACCGAAUAGGGGAGCCGAAGGGAAACCGAGUCUUAACUGGGCGUUAAGUUGCAGGGUAUAGACCCGAAACCCGGUGAUCUAGCCAUGGGCAGGUUGAAGGUUGGGUAACACUAACUGGAGGACCGAACCGACUAAUGUUGAAAAAUUAGCGGAUGACUUGUGGCUGGGGGUGAAAGGCCAAUCAAACCGGGAGAUAGCUGGUUCUCCCCGAAAGCUAUUUAGGUAGCGCCUCGUGAAUUCAUCUCCGGGGGUAGAGCACUGUUUCGGC
This 876-nucleotide ribosomal RNA is filed under the name Escherichia coli. RNAcentral's name for it is "partial 23S ribosomal RNA". It matches the Rfam family "Bacterial large subunit ribosomal RNA", at positions 1 to 919 of the family's 2925-position model. The record is from RNAcentral. Lineage: Bacteria; Pseudomonadati; Pseudomonadota; Gammaproteobacteria; Enterobacterales; Enterobacteriaceae.